GCCGAUGUGGCGGAAUUGGUAGACGCGCUACGUUCAGGUCGUAGUGGGCUUAAACCCGUGUGGGUUCGAAUCCCACCAUCGGCA
RNAcentral lists this transfer RNA (84 nucleotides) under Bacteroidetes bacterium SW_10_40_5. Its description in RNAcentral is "tRNA-Leu". It matches the Rfam family "tRNA". From Rfam's summary of the family: Transfer RNA (tRNA) molecules are approximately 80 nucleotides in length. Their secondary structure includes four short double-helical elements and three loops (D, anti-codon, and T loops). Further hydrogen bonds mediate the characteristic L-shaped molecular structure. tRNAs have two regions of fundamental functional importance: the anti-codon, which is responsible for specific mRNA codon recognition, and the 3' end, to which the tRNAs corresponding amino acid is attached (by aminoacyl-tRNA synthetases). tRNAs cope with the degeneracy of the genetic code in two manners: having more than one tRNA (with a specific anti-codon) for a particular amino acid; and 'wobble' base-pairing, i.e. permitting non-standard base-pairing at the 3rd anti-codon position. The record is from RNAcentral. Lineage: Bacteria; Pseudomonadati; Bacteroidota.